GUGCUGAGAAUUAAAUAAAGGGU
Molecule: non-coding RNA, 23 nt
Filed under: Cricetulus griseus (Chinese hamster)
Lineage: Eukaryota; Metazoa; Chordata; Mammalia; Rodentia; Cricetidae
Source: RNAcentral